This 259-nucleotide ribosomal RNA is filed under the name uncultured prokaryote. RNAcentral's name for it is "partial 16S ribosomal RNA". It matches the Rfam family "Bacterial small subunit ribosomal RNA", at positions 524 to 782 of the family's 1533-position model. The record is from RNAcentral.
UACGGAGGAUCCGAGCGUUAUCCGGAAUUAUUGGGUUUAAAGGGUGCGUAGGCGGCCAUUUAAGUCAGCGGUGAAAUUUUGCAGCUUAACUGUAACAGUGCCGUUGAUACUGUUUGGCUAGGAUUUGGUUGUAGUGUGCGGAAUGUGUGGUGUAGCGGUGAAAUGCUUAGAUAUCACACAGAACACCGAUUGCGAAGGCAGCACACUAAGUCAUUAUUGACGCUGAGGCACGAAAGUGUGGGGAUCAAACAGGAUUAGA